CUGGUUAAAUAAAGGUGUUCUCAACUGGCCUACCUGGUUAAAUAAAGGUGUUCUCAACUAGCCUACCUGGUUAAAUAAAGGUGUUCUCAACUGGCCUACCUGGUUAAAUAAAGGUGUUCUCAACUAGCCUACCUGGUUAAAUAAAGGUGUUCUCAACUAGCCUACCUGGUUAAAUAAAGGUGUUCUCAACUAGCCUACCUGGUUAAAUAAAGGUGUUCUCAACUAGCCCACCUGGUUAAAUAAAGGUGUUCUCAACUAGCCUACCUGGUUAAAUAAAGGUGUUCUCAACUAGCCUACCUGGUUUAAUAAAGGUGUUCUCAACUAGCCCACCUGGUUAAAUAAAGGUGUUCUCAACUAGCCUACCUGGUUAAAUAAAGGUGUUCUCAACUAGCCUACCUGGUUAAAUAAAGGUGUUCUCAACUAGCCUACCUGGUUAAAUAAAGGUGUUCUCAACUGGCCUACCUGGUUAAAUAAAGGUGUUCUCAACUAGCCUACCUGGUUAAAUAAAGGUGUUCUCAACUGGCCUACCUGGUUAAAUAAAGGUGUUCUCAAC
Oncorhynchus tshawytscha (Chinook salmon) is the source of this 553-nucleotide long non-coding RNA. The record is from Ensembl. NCBI's taxonomy places the organism in Eukaryota, Metazoa, Chordata, Actinopteri, Salmoniformes, Salmonidae.